UCCCCACAUGAUUUCAGUUUGUC
RNAcentral lists this non-coding RNA (23 nucleotides) under Mus musculus (house mouse). The record is from RNAcentral. Lineage: Eukaryota; Metazoa; Chordata; Mammalia; Rodentia; Muridae.